Nemania sp. FL0916 is the source of this 108-nucleotide non-coding RNA. The record is from the annotation of a GenBank genome assembly. Lineage: Eukaryota; Fungi; Ascomycota; Sordariomycetes; Xylariales; Xylariaceae.
GGGCUUGUGGUUUAGUGGUAUAAUACUCCCUUAGCAUCUGCUGGGCCUCCUUCGAGGAGGCGCACGAGAAAUUGGGAGUGGUCCGGGGUUCGAUUCCCCGCGAGUCCA